This 396-nucleotide ribosomal RNA is filed under the name uncultured bacterium. RNAcentral's name for it is "bacterial SSU rRNA". It matches the Rfam family "Bacterial small subunit ribosomal RNA", at positions 29 to 430 of the family's 1533-position model. The record is from RNAcentral.
AUUGAACGCUGGCGGAAUGCUUUACACAUGCAAGUCGAGCGGCAGCGCGGGGGCAACCCUGGCGGCGAGCGGCGAACGGGUGAGUAAUACAUCGGAACGUGUCCUUAAGUGGGGGAUAGCUCGGCGAAAGCCGGAUUAAUACCGCAUAAGCUCUGAGGAGGAAAGCGGGGGCUCCGUAAGGACCUCGCGCUGUUGGAGCGGCCGAUGUCGGAUUAGCUAGUUGGUGGGGAAAGGCCCACCAAGGCGACGAUCCGUAGCUGGUCUGAGAGGAUGAUCAGCCACACUGGAACUGAGACACGGUCCAGACUCCUACGGGAGGCAGCAGUGGGAAUUUGGACAAUGGGGGCAACCCUGAUCCAGCCAUUCCGCGUGAGUGAAGAAGGCCUCGGUGUAAGA